Malania oleifera is the source of this 1585-nucleotide long non-coding RNA. RefSeq lists it as uncharacterized. The transcript has 2 exons. NCBI's taxonomy places the organism in Eukaryota, Viridiplantae, Streptophyta, Magnoliopsida, Santalales, Ximeniaceae. The record is from RefSeq and is a predicted model, not a curated record.
AAAGAAGAAAGUGGGGUCGGGGGUAUGUAGCAUCAAAUAGCACACAGAUUGUUUGCCAGCUUUCCAGCUUCCAGUACGCAGAAAAUGGAUUCCAUUCGAGCUCCGUGAAGCCUCCGACAUGCAACUCUCUCUCUCUCUCUCUCUCUCUCUCUCGUUCCGCACGAAACCCUAGUUUUUUCUUAGAGACGACUGAUCAGGAUGAUGGGUUUGAUUAGGGUAUUGCCAAGGAAGGCAUGCUAGGGUUGCGAAGCGAUUGGGUCUUAAAAUAUACCAGGCAUUGGGCUUGAUCUGCUGGAGUCGCGCCUAGGUGGUGCUCUCUCUCUCUCUCUCACUCUCUCUUCUUUAGCAACGGCGCUCGCCAGAGUUUCGCAUACCACAGGCUCCCCUCGCAGCACCUUACGCUCUCUGUUCUCAAAUUUUAUGGCUCUUCCUUGGGUGAAAUUGUGUCCCUGGGUUCUCUCCGUUGCAAAUAUGUUUAACUAUUUUUGUCUGUGGGUUUAUGUUAUUAUGUGCUUUUGAUUUUGGUGACAGACGUUAAUGUUGCGAGGACAGUGUCGGUACCGGAGCUUAAAGAGGCUGUGGAGGAUAUAUUCGGACGGGUUUCGAAGGAGGGGGCGAAUUAAGAUUUCAUGCUUCACUUUACCCAUCAUCAGUCAAUCAACUACAAUCACGCAAGGAGACGAACGAAAAAUCGAAGUGCUGCUUUUGAGCAGGAUGCGAUGUAAGAAUUUGUGUGGCUUUCAUGGUAAUAAAACAAAGUUUGUUUUCCAGUGGUUAUGUAUCCAUGCUCAGAAGCCUUGGAUGACUUAAGACUGACCUUGCCGAAUUGCUGGAUUUUUUUGGGGAAUCAACAAUGAUCCAGGAAAGUGAUCUUUAUUGCAUGGUUAUAAUUAUGUCAAUCUGUUCAGUUGGUGCCUGAGAAUUCUGCUGGGUUCUUGUUGAUCAACCUUGUGUGGCAUGGAUAAUGUGGCUCCCUUUCGUAUGUUAAGAAUGUCGAAGCCUUGCAAAUAAUGAAAACUGGACCCAUGGUCAGGCCAUUAUCAGGUUCCAGUCCCCAGAGACACCGGAGAGAGGGCAGAUAGAGGAAAAUGAUGCUGAUGAGGACAAACAAGUGGGUUAUUUUGAGGGUGGGAUUUGGGAUUUUGCAGAGCUUAAAGAAUCCAAUUUGCCAAAUUGUUUGGAAAGGGUUGCUUCUGGGCAGCUAAAUUGUAAUUGUGAGAGGUCAAGGUUAGGAGAAAACUGCGAGCGUUUAUAUGGGAGGGUAUCCAAGACUAGGGUAAACAAUUGAAGAUAAGACUUGCUCUGUUCUUGGGGAUAUUUUUCCCCCUUUAUUUUGAACUUAGAUGUUUGGACUGGAGGAUCCAUUGUCCUGAGCAACAUUCUUUCCUAGGACAGUUACCUUGUGGGGACUUUAUUAGGGGUCAGAUUUGCUUCGAUGUUAAUAUUUCUGAUAUUUACUCCCAAUGGUUAUGGUUGUCUCAAUUUGUUCAAUUGGAGCCUGGGAAGUUUGCUGGGUCUCCUUUUUAUUAAAAUUGUUGAAGCUUUGCAAAUAAUGAAAACUGGACCUAAGGCCAGUCGUUGAAUA